RNAcentral lists this ribosomal RNA (1546 nucleotides) under Enterobacter hormaechei. RNAcentral describes it as "bacterial SSU rRNA". It matches the Rfam family "Bacterial small subunit ribosomal RNA". The record is from RNAcentral. Lineage: Bacteria; Pseudomonadati; Pseudomonadota; Gammaproteobacteria; Enterobacterales; Enterobacteriaceae.
AAAUUGAAGAGUUUGAUCAUGGCUCAGAUUGAACGCUGGCGGCAGGCCUAACACAUGCAAGUCGAACGGUAACAGGAAGCAGCUUGCUGCUUCGCUGACGAGUGGCGGACGGGUGAGUAAUGUCUGGGAAACUGCCUGAUGGAGGGGGAUAACUACUGGAAACGGUAGCUAAUACCGCAUAACGUCGCAAGACCAAAGAGGGGGACCUUCGGGCCUCUUGCCAUCGGAUGUGCCCAGAUGGGAUUAGCUAGUAGGUGGGGUAACGGCUCACCUAGGCGACGAUCCCUAGCUGGUCUGAGAGGAUGACCAGCCACACUGGAACUGAGACACGGUCCAGACUCCUACGGGAGGCAGCAGUGGGGAAUAUUGCACAAUGGGCGCAAGCCUGAUGCAGCCAUGCCGCGUGUAUGAAGAAGGCCUUCGGGUUGUAAAGUACUUUCAGCGGGGAGGAAGGCGAUAAGGUUAAUAACCUUGUCGAUUGACGUUACCCGCAGAAGAAGCACCGGCUAACUCCGUGCCAGCAGCCGCGGUAAUACGGAGGGUGCAAGCGUUAAUCGGAAUUACUGGGCGUAAAGCGCACGCAGGCGGUCUGUCAAGUCGGAUGUGAAAUCCCCGGGCUCAACCUCGGGAACUGCAUUCGAAACUGGCAGGCUAGAGUCUUGUAGAGGGGGGUAGAAUUCCGGUGUAGCGGUGAAAUGCGUAGAGAUCUGGAGGAAUACCGGUGGCGAAGGCGGCCCCCCUGGACAAAGACUGACGCUCAGGUGCGAAAGCGUGGGGAGCAAACAGGAUUAGAUACCCUCGGUAGUCCACGCCGUAAACGAUGUCGACUUGGAGGUUGUGCCCUUGAGGCGUGGCUUCCGGAGCUAACGCGUUAAGUCGACCGCACCGGGGAGUACGGCCGCAAGGUUAAAACUCAAAUGAAUUGACGGGGGCCCGCACAAGCGGUGGAGCAUGUGGUUUAAUUCGAUGCAACGCGAAGAACCUUACCUACUCUUGACAUCCAGAGAACUUUCCAGAGAUGGAUUGGUGCCUUCGGGAACUCUGAGACAGGUGCUGCAUGGCUGUCGUCAGCUCGUGUUGUGAAAUGUUGGGUUAAGUCCCGCAACGAGCGCAACCCUUAUCCUUUGUUGCCAGCGGUCCGGCCGGGAACUCAAAGGAGACUGCCAGUGAUAAACUGGAGGAAGGUGGGGAUGACGUCAAGUCAUCAUGGCCCUUACGAGUAGGGCUACACACGUGCUACAAUGGCGCAUACAAAGAGAAGCGACCUCGCGAGAGCAAGCGGACCUCAUAAAGUGCGUCGUAGUCCGGAUUGGAGUCUGCAACUCGACUCCAUGAAGUCGGAAUCGCUAGUAAUCGUGGAUCAGAAUGCCACGGUGAAUACGUUCCCGGGCCUUGUACACACCGCCCGUCACACCAUGGGAGUGGGUUGCAAAAGAAGUAGGUAGCUUAACCUUCGGGAGGGCGCUUACCACUUUGUGAUUCAUGACUGGGGUGAAGUCGUAACAAGGUAACCGUAGGGGGAACCUGCGGUUGGAUCACCUCCUUA